This 468-nucleotide ribosomal RNA is filed under the name uncultured bacterium. RNAcentral's name for it is "partial 16S ribosomal RNA". It matches the Rfam family "Bacterial small subunit ribosomal RNA", at positions 28 to 507 of the family's 1533-position model. The record is from RNAcentral.
GACGAACGCUGGCGGCGUGCUUAACACAUGCAAGUCGAACGGAAAGGCCCUGCUCUUGUUGGGUGCUCGAUAGGGGAACGGGUGAGUAACACGUGAGUAACCUGCCCUUGACUUUGGGAUAACUUCAGGAAACUGGGGCGAAUACCGCAUAGGAGCUCCUGCUCCAUGGUGGUGGUUGGAAAGUGUCGGCGGUGGUGGAUGGACUCGCGGCUUAUCAGCUUGUUUGUGGGGUAGUGGCUUACCAAGCCUAUGACGGCUAGCCGGCCUGAGAGGGUGACCGGCCACAUUGGGACUGAGAGACGGCCCAGAAUCCUACGUGAGGCAGCAGUGGGGAAUAUUGCACAAUGGGCGGAAGCGUGAUGCAGCAACGCCGCGUGCGUGAUGACGGCCUUCGGGUUAUAAACCGCUUUCGCCUGUGACGAAGCGUGAGUGACGGUAAUUGGUAAGGAAGCAACGGCUAACUACGUG